CGCUACAUCAUUCAAGGAAAUUCGUCGUAGAGGUCUUUCUCUUUACCAGAUUUCGUAGCUGAAGUUUAUGAAGUAAUCAAACCGGUGUUAACUUCUUAUAUAAAGGUAGAUUCCCAAACUUUGAAGAAACACUACAGUACUGGGGUAAUUGAAUGUUGUAAGGCAGAGCAUCGGGCUUUCCAGAGCCAAGGUAUCUUCUUCGAUAACAAGGUAAGGAUAGUCCUGAUACUACCUUUCUUUUGUUAUUGAAGUUUAUUGUUCCUUUUGUUGGGGGCUUGGUGGUUGUGCACCUAUAUUGAUUUGUACUUCUGUUAAUUAAUUAUAGUCAUUCUCUCUUGUCUGAGUAAUUAUUGUCAACCAUUUUGUUAGCAAAGGCUUCCCAUGGAUAUUCAGUUUGUUGUGCUGCAUGUCCACGAUGAUUUUCGUGAUUUUAGUUCUAGAUACAUAAAAAGGGCCUUUGCAUCACGACAUGAAUGACUAUUUUUUAAUAUGAACCUACAAUGCCCCAAAUGAAUGCUGGAUUAAAUUAGAUACAGGGUAGAUAGAGAGUG
Molecule: long non-coding RNA, 551 nt
Organism: Cucumis sativus (cucumber)
Lineage: Eukaryota; Viridiplantae; Streptophyta; Magnoliopsida; Cucurbitales; Cucurbitaceae
Exons: 3
Source: RefSeq, a predicted model, not a curated record